This 873-nucleotide ribosomal RNA is filed under the name Escherichia coli. Its description in RNAcentral is "partial 23S ribosomal RNA". It matches the Rfam family "Bacterial large subunit ribosomal RNA", at positions 317 to 1194 of the family's 2925-position model. Lineage: Bacteria; Pseudomonadati; Pseudomonadota; Gammaproteobacteria; Enterobacterales; Enterobacteriaceae. The record is from RNAcentral.
UCAGUGUGUGUGUUAGUGGAAGCGUCUGGAAAGGCGUGCGAUACAGGGUGACAGCCCCGUACACAAAAAUGCACAUGCUGUGAGCUCGAUGAGUAGGGCGGGACACGUGGUAUCCUGUCUGAAUAUGGGGGGACCAUCCUCCAAGGCUAAAUACUCCUGACUGACCGAUAGUGAACCAGUACCGUGAGGGAAAGGCGAAAAGAACCCCGGCGAGGGGAGUGAAAAAGAACCUGAAACCGUGUACGUACAAGCAGUGGGAGCACGCUUAGGCGUGUGACUGCGUACCUUUUGUAUAAUGGGUCAGCGACUUAUAUUCUGUAGCAAGGUUAACCGAAUAGGGGAGCCGAAGGGAAACCGAGUCUUAACUGGGCGUUAAGUUGCAGGGUAUAGACCCGAAACCCGGUGAUCUAGCCAUGGGCAGGUUGAAGGUUGGGUAACACUAACUGGAGGACCGAACCGACUAAUGUUGAAAAAUUAGCGGAUGACUUGUGGCUGGGGGUGAAAGGCCAAUCAAACCGGGAGAUAGCUGGUUCUCCCCGAAAGCUAUUUAGGUAGCGCCUCGUGAAUUCAUCUCCGGGGGUAGAGCACUGUUUCGGCAAGGGGGUCAUCCCGACUUACCAACCCGAUGCAAACUGCGAAUACCGGAGAAUGUUAUCACGGGAGACACACGGCGGGUGCUAACGUCCGUCGUGAAGAGGGAAACAACCCAGACCGCCAGCUAAGGUCCCAAAGUCAUGGUUAAGUGGGAAACGAUGUGGGAAGGCCCAGACAGCCAGGAUGUUGGCUUAGAAGCAGCCAUCAUUUAAAGAAAGCGUAAUAGCUCACUGGUCGAGUCGGCCUGCGCGGAAGAUGUAACGGGGCUAAACCAUGCAC